This 337-nucleotide unclassified non-coding RNA is filed under the name soil metagenome. RNAcentral's name for it is "partial contains 5.8S ribosomal RNA, internal transcribed spacer 2, and large subunit ribosomal RNA". The stretch from base 1 to 120 matches the Rfam family "5.8S ribosomal RNA", at positions 35 to 154 of the family's 154-position model. The record is from RNAcentral.
GAUGAAGAACGUAGCGAAAUGCGAUAAGUAAUGUGAAUUGCAGAAUUCAGUGAAUCAUCGAAUCUUUGAACGCACAUUGCGCCCCCUGGUAUUCCGGAGGGCAUGUCUGUCCGAGCGUCAUUAGUCCAAUCUCAAGCCCGGCUUGUCGUUGGGUCGCACCGCCCGGGGCGGUGGACCCGAAAUAUAAUGACGGGGUCUAGCGGACCGUGGGCGCAGCGAGCUUUUACAGCACGCGUCCCGGCGUCAUCUAGACGCGUCUCCAACCAUACUCUCUGUAGGUUGACCUCGGAUCAGACAGGAUUACCCGCUGAACUUAAGCAUAUCAAUAAGCGGAGGA